UACAGAGGGGGCAAGCGUUGUUCGGAAUUACUGGGCGUAAAGGGCGCGUAGGCGGCCUGUUAAGUCGAACGUGAAAUCCCCGGGCUCAACCCGGGAACUGCGUCCGAUACUGGCAGGCUUGAAUCCGGGAGAGGGAUGCGGAAUUCCAGGUGUAGCGGUGAAAUGCGUAGAUAUCUGGAGGAACACCGGUGGCGAAGGCGGCGUCCUGGACCGGCAUUGACGCUGAGGCGCGAAAGCCAGGGGAGCAAACGGG
Molecule: ribosomal RNA, 253 nt
Filed under: uncultured bacterium
Lineage: Bacteria
Description: partial 16S ribosomal RNA
Rfam family: Bacterial small subunit ribosomal RNA
Source: RNAcentral